RNAcentral lists this ribosomal RNA (574 nucleotides) under uncultured organism. RNAcentral's name for it is "bacterial SSU rRNA". It matches the Rfam family "Bacterial small subunit ribosomal RNA", at positions 840 to 1427 of the family's 1533-position model. The record is from RNAcentral.
UGUGUGUCGUAGUUAACGCGUUAAACAGGGCGCCUGGGAAGUACGGCCGCAAGGCUAAAACCCAAAGGAAUUGACGGGGACCCGCACAAGCAGUGGAGCGCCUGGUUUAAUUCGAUGGUCAGCGAAGAACCUCACCUAGGCUUGAACUGUAGCUGCACACUCCCAGAAACGGGAGAAUCCUUCGAGGGUGCUACAGAGGUGCUGCAUGGCUGUCGUCAGCUCGUGUCGUGAGAUGUAGGGUUAAGUCCCACAACGAGCGCAACCCCUAUUCAGUGUUAUAAUUACUCUGAAGACUGCCCUGUCCAAACGGGGAGGAAGGAGGGGACGACGUCCAGUCAUCAUGUCCCUUAUGUCUAGGGCUACACAGACGCUACAAUGGCCGGUACAAUGGGUUGCCAAACCGCGAGGUGGAGCCAAUCCCAUCAAAGCCGGUCCCAGUUCGGAUUGCAGUCUGCAACUCGACUGCAUGAAGUUGGAAUUGCUAGUAAUCGCGAAUCAGCAUGUCGCGGUGAAUACGUUCUCGGGUCUUGUACACACCGCCCGUCAGGGCACGGGAGUCGCUCUUGCUCGAAGU